GAUGAAGAACGUAGCGAAAUGCGAUACGUAAUGUGAAUUGCAAAUUCAGUGAAUCAUCGAGUCUUUGAACGCACAUUGCGCCCCCUGGUAUUCCGGGGGGCAUGCCUGUCCGAGCGUCAUUGCUGCCCUCAAGCACGGCUUGUGUGUUGGGCCCGUCCUCCGAUCCCGGGGGACGGGCCCGAAAGGCAGCGGCGGCACCGCGUCCGGUCCUCGAGCGUAUGGGGCUUUGUCACCCGCUCUGUAGGCCCGGCCGGCGCUUGCCGAUCAACCCAAAUUUUUUAUCCAGGUUGACCUCGGAUCAGGUAGGGAUACCCGCUGAACUUAAGCAUAUCAAUAAGCGGAGGA
Molecule: unclassified non-coding RNA, 345 nt
Filed under: soil metagenome
Description: partial contains 5.8S ribosomal RNA, internal transcribed spacer 2, and large subunit ribosomal RNA
Rfam family: 5.8S ribosomal RNA (bases 1-119)
Source: RNAcentral